GGGGUCAUCCCGACUUACCAACCCUUUGCAAACUCCGAAUACCAGUAAGUAAUAUCCGGGAGACACACGGCGGGUGCUAACGUCCGUCGUGAAGAGGGAAACAACCCAGACCGCCAGCUAAGGUCCCAAAGUUAUAGCUAAGUGGGAAACGAUGUGGGAAGGCUCAGACAGCAGGAUGUUGGCUUAGAAGCAGCCAUCAUUUAAAGAAAGCGUAAUAGCUCACUGGUCGAGUCGGCCUGCGCGGAAGAUUUAACGGGGCUAAGCUAUACACCGAAGCUGCGGCAAUAUGAACUUGUUCAUAUUGGGUAGGGGAGCGUUCUGUAAGCCGUUGAAGGUGCAUUGUAAAGUGUGCUGGAGGUAUCAGAAGUGCGAAUGCUGACAUGAGUAACGAUAAAGGGAGUGAAAAACUCCCUCGCCGGAAGAUCAAGGGUUCCUGUCCAACGUUAAUCGGGGCAGGGUAAGUCGACCCCUAAGGCGAGGCCGAAAGGCGUAGUCGAUGGGAAACGGGUUAAUAUUCCCGUACUUCUUAUAAUUGCGAUGGAGGGACGGAGAAGGCUAGGUGAGCCUGGCGACGGUUGUCCAGGUCCAAGUAUGUAGGCUGAUG
Molecule: ribosomal RNA, 604 nt
Filed under: Photobacterium phosphoreum
Lineage: Bacteria; Pseudomonadati; Pseudomonadota; Gammaproteobacteria; Vibrionales; Vibrionaceae
Description: bacterial LSU rRNA
Rfam family: Bacterial large subunit ribosomal RNA
Source: RNAcentral